CAUGCAUGUCUAAGUACAAACUUUUUAUAAAAGUGAAACCGCGAAAGGCUCAUUAAAUCAGUUAUGGUUCCUUAGAUGGUACCCACAUUUACUUGGAUAACUGUGGUAAUUCUAGAGCUAAUACAUGCAAACUGAGCUCCAACCGGUGACGGAAGGAGUGCUUUUAUUAGAUCAAAACCAAUACGGCGGCGACUAUUGUUUUAUUACUUUAGUUCGUACGUCGCAAAUAUUGGUGACUCUGAGUAACUUAUGCUGAUCGUACGGUCUAGUACCGACGACGCAUCUUUCAAAUGUCUGCCUUAUCAACUGUCGAUGGUAGGAUCUGCGCCUACCAUGGUUGUAACGGGUAACGGGGAAUCAGGGUUCGAUUCCGGAGAGGGAGCCUGAGAAACGGCUACCACAUCCAAGGAAGGCAGCAGGCACGCAAAUUACCCACUCCCAGCACGGGGAGGUAGUGACGAAAAAUAACGAUACGGGACUCAUCCGAGGCCCCGUAAUCGGAAUGAGUACACUUUAAAUCCUUUAACGAGGAUCUAUUGGAGGGCAAGUCUGGUGCCAGCAGCCGCGGUAAUUCCAGCUCCAAUAGCGUAUAUUAAAGUUGUUGCGGUUAAAAAGCUCGUAGUUGAAUUUGUGUCCCGUGCUGUCGGUACACUGCCCGCAGUGUUUAACUGGCAUGUUUCACGGGACGUCCUGCCGGUGGAUGCGUCAUACUUUAUACGUGUACUUACCAUACACAUAAUUUACCAUUUUGUGAUAAUAACAUUGCAAUUAAAACAUUUCAUAUUAUGUUGUCGGUGCACGACUCUUUAUUAAAAUUAAUCAUAUUAUGGUUCCCCAUUAAAAUUAUUGGUGCACGAUUUUAUCGUUGUUUAUCAAUAUUUUAUAUGGUCAUAAUUGAUUAAAAAGAUGUUCGUUGUUUAUCGCUCAUUAUGUUAUGUGCUUUGUUUUAUUAUCCGGUUUAUUAUGUUUAAAUGUAUGGGGUCCGUAUAUUUGUUAUGCCAUCCAGACUCAUAAAUCCUGUCGCGGUGCUCUUAAUCGAGUGUCGAGGCAGGCCGGCACAUUUACUUUGAACAAAUUAGAGUGCUCAAAGCAGGCCAAAAUUAUGCCUGAAUACAAUUAUGCAUGGAAUAAUGGAAUAGGACCUCGGUUCUAUUUUGUUGGUUUUUUGGAACAAUGAGGUAAUGAUUAAUAGGGACAGAUGGGGGCAUUCGUAUUGCGACGUUAGAGGUGAAAUUCUUGGAUCGUCGCAAGACGGACUAAAGCGAAAGCAUUUGCCAAAAAUGUUUUCAUUAAUCAAGAGCGAAAGUCAGAGGUUCGAAGGCGAUCAGAUACCGCCCUAGUUCUGACCAUAAACGAUGCCAGCUAGCGAUCCGCCGAAGUUCCUCCGAUGACUCGGCGGGCAGCUUACGGGAAACCAAAGCUUUUGGGUUCCGGGGGAAGUAUGGUUGCAAAGCUGAAACUUAAAGGAAUUGACGGAAGGGCACCACCAGGAGUGGAGCCUGCGGCUUAAUUUGACUCAACACGGGAAACCUCACCAGGCCCAGACACUGGAAGGAUUGACAGAUUGAGAGCUCUUUCUUGAUUCAGUGGGUGGUGGUGCAUGGCCGUUCUUAGUUGGUGGAGUGAUUUGUCUGGUUAAUUCCGAUAACGAACGAGACUCUAACCUGCUAACUAGGCGUAUUUAACCGGUAUCCUGAAGGCUCGUGUUCACCGCAUUAACUGGUGAUCGGUACCCCAUUGUGUUCUACAUCACACAUAUAUGUGAGGUUGUAUGGGCAUCUAUGAUGUUUCGUCUUAAUUGACGUUCUUAUAGUUGUACCGCUACCUAUUCAAACACAUUAUGUUGUUUGUUAGUUCACUGGGUUCUUGUCCGUGAUCUGGGCGGUCUGUUCACGGUUUUUACUACCGGCGUACACAUAAAUCUUCUUAGAGGGACUGGCGGCAUCUAGCCGCACGAGAUUGAGCAAUAACAGGUCUGUGAUGCCCUUAGAUGUUCUGGGCCGCACGCGCGCUACACUGAAGGAAUCAGCGUGUAAUUCCUUGGCCGAAAGGUCCGGGUAAACCGUUGAAUCUCCUUCGUGCUAGGGAUUGGGGAUUGCAAUUAUUCCCCAUGAACGAGGAAUUCCCAGUAAGCGCGAGUCAUAAGCUUGCGUUGAUUACGUCCCUGCCCUUUGUACACACCGCCCGUCGCUACUACCGAUUGAAUGAUUUAGUGAGGUCUCCGGACCGGCACCCGGCGGUGUUUCGAUAUCGCCGAUGCGUCGCUGGGAAGUUGACCAAACUUGGUCAUUUAGAGGAAGUAAAAGUCGUAACAAGGUUUCCGU
This 2324-nucleotide ribosomal RNA is filed under the name Metrius contractus. RNAcentral's name for it is "SSU rRNA". It matches the Rfam family "Eukaryotic small subunit ribosomal RNA". Lineage: Eukaryota; Metazoa; Arthropoda; Insecta; Coleoptera; Carabidae. The record is from RNAcentral.